Molecule: long non-coding RNA, 508 nt
Organism: Parasteatoda tepidariorum (common house spider)
Lineage: Eukaryota; Metazoa; Arthropoda; Arachnida; Araneae; Theridiidae
Source: RefSeq, a predicted model, not a curated record
AAAUGGUCCUUGAUCUUGGAUUAUUGCUAAGAAUUAUUCUCGGUAAUUUGUUUUUUUACACCGCACUUAAAGCAUAAGUACUACUUGUGAUUUCCGAUUAGAAAGGAAAAAAAAAAAGAUUGAUUUUGUAAACAUCACUACCAGACAAAUUAAAUAAUCUGAUUUAUCUCUUAUCGCAUGAUCAUAGUAACAUAUACUGUAAACCACAACAAGCAAAUGCUCUCAUAAAAGUGUUAGACACUGGUCAAAACAGAUGAUUCUUUCAUACUAGGGUUUGAGAACAAUACCAUCUUCAAAAUCCGACUUAGUCAUGCUGAUGAGAAAUCACGAUUUUCAACCAAACACCAACUCAAUAAAGGCAUCAGUAUUUAAUAACUAUCAAGAUGAAGAUACAAUGAUGUAAAAAUAGGCUAAACUACUGAGUAUGAUUGAGCUCAAUAAUUUAGAAAUUAUUCCUCAUCAAUUUGACACGGCUCAGGAAGAUCAAAGGCCUUCCGCGGAAGAUUUC